RNAcentral lists this ribosomal RNA (301 nucleotides) under uncultured bacterium. RNAcentral describes it as "partial 16S ribosomal RNA". It matches the Rfam family "Bacterial small subunit ribosomal RNA", at positions 509 to 809 of the family's 1533-position model. The record is from RNAcentral.
CAGUCGCCGCGGGAAUACGGAGGGUGCAAGCGUUAUCCGGAUUUAUUGGGUUUAAAGGGUCCGUAGGCGGAUCUGUAAGUCAGUGGUGAAAUCUCACAGCUUAACUGUGAAACUGCCAUUGAUACUGCAGGUCUUGAGUAAAUUUGAAGUGGCUGGAAUAAGUAGUGUAGCGGUGAAAUGCAUAGAUAUUACUUAGAACACCAAUUGCGAAGGCAGGUCACUAAGAUUUAACUGACGCUGAUGGACGAAAGCGUGGGGAGCGAACAGGAUUAGAUACCCGCGUAGUCCCUGUCUCUUAUAA